GCGCCUGUAGCUCAGUGGAUAGGGCGUUAUUUCCUAAGCUGAAGGUUGCAGGUUCGUCUAUUUCCUAAGCUGAAGGUUGCAGGUUCGACCCCUACCUGGCGCG
Non-coding RNA from Nicotiana attenuata, 103 nucleotides. NCBI's taxonomy places the organism in Eukaryota, Viridiplantae, Streptophyta, Magnoliopsida, Solanales, Solanaceae. The record is from Rfam.